Molecule: long non-coding RNA, 489 nt
Organism: Neofelis nebulosa (Clouded leopard)
Lineage: Eukaryota; Metazoa; Chordata; Mammalia; Carnivora; Felidae
Exons: 4
Source: RefSeq, a predicted model, not a curated record
GAGAUUCAGAAGCCUGAUCAAGAUUCACGUGGAGGAGAAUAGACCCCAUCUUUCAAUGAGACUUCAGGGCACAGUACUCUCCACAGGGAUACCAAUGUCUACAAGGGUCCCACUGGCCCAGCAGGGAAGCAACUCACCAGGUCCAGCCUAUACUUAAGAGGAAGGCAUUAUACAAGGGAGUGAAUGCCAGGAGGCAAGAUUAUUGGGAGGCACGUCAGAAGCUGCCUGCAAAAACAGGGCCCAAAUGAAACAGCUUUUAAUUCCAAAUGCAAAAUAAACAACAUGGAAAUAUAAGACAGCACAUUGAAAAGACCCAAGAGUCAAAGGAGGAAAUUUGUAUCCAGAGGUGUUCCAUGAAAUUGAGUGCUGAGAGAUAAGAAAAGGAAAAAAAAUGGAGAGUGAAGAAAGCAACAUUUUGAGAGCUGAGCAGGUUUUUUUUUUUUUUAAUCAGAAAUAGUGUUUAUUGGACUCCCUUCCAUAAAAAAAAAA